UACGUAGGGCGCAAGCGUUGUCCGGAAUUAUUGGGCGUAAAGAGCUCGUAGGCGGUUUGUCGCGUCUGUCGUGAAAGCUUGGGGCUUAACCCCAAGUCUGCGGUGGAUACGGGCAGACUAGAGGCAGGUAGGGGAGAACGGAAUUCCCGGUGUAGCGGUGAAAUGCGCAGAUAUCGGGAGGAACACCAGUGGCGCAAGCGGCUGACUGGCCGAGACCUGACGCUGAGGCGCGACAGCGUGGGGAGCAAACCGG
RNAcentral lists this ribosomal RNA (253 nucleotides) under uncultured bacterium. RNAcentral describes it as "partial 16S ribosomal RNA". It matches the Rfam family "Bacterial small subunit ribosomal RNA", at positions 524 to 776 of the family's 1533-position model. The record is from RNAcentral.